GGGGAAUGGGGGAGGGGAUUACAAUGUAGGGAACUGAACCCUCACCAACAAGGUAGAAGUUCAGGUAACUAACCAACUAAGCUACUAAGAUUCUCCAAACACCUUAAGAUCAACCUAAAUGUCAAUGCACCCAAUCGACUUUUUAAAAUAUUGUGUGACUCAAAGAUUGAUCCUUGAUCAUGUGGAUGGAAGCGAUGGCUUAAACCAGUUCACCUAGGUUCAGUGAAUGGUUUUUAUUAUUAAAAACCUCAGGAAGGCGAGGCAAAAAUCAAACGUGUAAAUUUUAUUAUAUAUCAUUUGUCUGAUAUAUUUUUCUUUUUUUG
RNAcentral lists this long non-coding RNA (323 nucleotides) under Capsicum annuum. RNAcentral describes it as "long non-coding RNA (CANN_LNC012884)". The record is from RNAcentral. Lineage: Eukaryota; Viridiplantae; Streptophyta; Magnoliopsida; Solanales; Solanaceae.